RNAcentral lists this ribosomal RNA (1000 nucleotides) under Isoptericola sp. EGI80039. RNAcentral describes it as "bacterial SSU rRNA". It matches the Rfam family "Bacterial small subunit ribosomal RNA", at positions 39 to 1054 of the family's 1533-position model. Lineage: Bacteria; Bacillati; Actinomycetota; Actinomycetes; Micrococcales; Promicromonosporaceae. The record is from RNAcentral.
CUGACGGGUCUUACCAUGCGCGUCGUUCGGACCUAGCUCAGCUUGCUGGGCGGAUCAGUGGCGAACGGGUGAGUAACACGUGAGCAACCUGCCCUCCACUUCGGGAUAAGCCUUGGAAACGGGGUCUAAUACCGGAUAUGAGCGCCUGCCGCAUGGUGGGUGUUGGAAAGUUUUUCGGUGGGGGAUGGGCUCGCGGCCUAUCAGCUUGUUGGUGGGGUGAUGGCCUACCAAGGCUUCGACGGGUAGCCGGCCUGAGAGGGCGACCGGCCACACUGGGACUGAGACACGGCCCAGACUCCUACGGGAGGCAGCAGUGGGGAAUAUUGCACAAUGGGCGAAAGCCUGAUGCAGCGACGCCGCGUGAGGGAUGACGGCCUUCGGGUUGUAAACCUCUUUCAGCAGGGAAGAAGCGCAAGUGACGGUACCUGCAGAAGAAGCGCCGGCUAACUACGUGCCAGCAGCCGCGGUAAUACGUAGGGCGCAAGCGUUGUCCGGAAUUAUUGGGCGUAAAGAGCUCGUAGGCGGUUUGUCGCGUCUGGUGUGAAAUCCCGAGGCUCAACCUCGGGCUUGCAUCGGGUACGGGCAGACUAGAGUGCGGUAGGGGAGACUGGAAUUCCUGGUGUAGCGGUGGAAUGCGCAGAUAUCAGGAGGAACACCGAUGGCGAAGGCAGGUCUCUGGGCCGCAACUGACGCUGAGGAGCGAAAGCAUGGGGAGCGAACAGGAUUAGAUACCCUGGUAGUCCAUGCCGUAAACGUUGGGCACUAGGUGUGGGGCUCAUUCCACGAGUUCCGUGCCGCAGCUAACGCAUUAAGUGCCCCGCCUGGGGAGUACGGCCGCAAGGCUAAAACUCAAAGGAAUUGACGGGGGCCCGCACAAGCGGCGGAGCAUGCGGAUUAAUUCGAUGCAACGCGAAGAACCUUACCAAGGCUUGACAUGCACCGGAAACCGCCAGAGAUGGUGGCCCCGCAAGGUCGGUGCACAGGUGGUGCAUGGUUGUCG